RNAcentral lists this ribosomal RNA (292 nucleotides) under uncultured bacterium. Its description in RNAcentral is "partial 16S ribosomal RNA". It matches the Rfam family "Bacterial small subunit ribosomal RNA", at positions 505 to 796 of the family's 1533-position model. The record is from RNAcentral.
GUGUCAGCAGCCGCGGUAAUACGGAGGGUGCAAGCGUUGUCCGGAUUUAUUGGGUUUAAAGGGUGCGUAGGCGGCCUAAUAAGUCAGUGGUGAAAGCCUCCAGCUUAACUGGAGAACUGCCAUUGAUACUGUUAGGCUUGAGUAUACUUGAGGUAGGCGGAAUUGACAGUGUAGCGGUGAAAUGCAUAGAUAUUGUCAAGAACACCAAUUGCGAAGGCAGCUUACUAAAUUAUAACUGACGCUGAGGCACGAAAGUGUGGGUAUCAAACAGGAUUAGAUACCCUUGUAGUCC